CAAAUUAGAGCUUGAGUAUAAGUAUUUCAUUUACAUUGAAAUGAUAUUGAAAAUUUACAAUUAAUUUGA
Molecule: transfer RNA, 69 nt
Filed under: Ostrinia palustralis
Lineage: Eukaryota; Metazoa; Arthropoda; Insecta; Lepidoptera; Crambidae
Description: tRNA-Val
Source: RNAcentral